Molecule: small RNA, 417 nt
Filed under: Pan troglodytes (chimpanzee)
Lineage: Eukaryota; Metazoa; Chordata; Mammalia; Primates; Hominidae
Description: retained intron
Source: RNAcentral
UACUGGGGUUACAGACAUGAGCCACCACGCCCGGCCCUUUUUAAAUCCAUCUUCCAUGAGCUAACACUCUCUUUCCCUUUCCAGAUUGACUGGGGCGACUUUGGGGUAGAGGCAGUGUCUGAGGGGACUGACUCUGGCAUCUCUGCUGAGGCUGCUGGAAUCGACUGGGGCAUCUUCCCGGAAUCAGAUUCAAAGGAUCCUGGAGGUGAUGGGAUAGACUGGGGAGACGAUGCUGUUGCUUUGCAGAUCACAGUGCUGGAAGCAGGAACCCAGGGUAAGUGCACCAUCCCCUGCAGCCCUGGCAAAAGUGGGGUGCUCAAGGGCCCCCACGUGUGUAGAAACAGAAAAAAUGCAGCACUAAGAUGAGGCUUCUUGCACAUUUAACUGUUUCUCAAAACCUUGAUGAGGAUGUGAGCU